GACGAACGCUGGCGGCGUGCUUAACACAUGCAAGUCGAACGGAAAGGCCCUGCUUUUGUGGGGUGCUCGAGUGGCAAACGGGUGAGUAACACGUGAGUAACCUGCCCUUGACUUUGGGAUAACUUCAGGAAACUGGGGCUAAUACCGGAUAGGAGCUCCUGCUGCAUGGUGGGGGUUGGAAAGUUUCGGCGGUUGGGGAUGGACUCGCGGCUUAUCAGCUUGUUGGUGGGGUAGUGGCUUACCAAGGCUUUGACGGGUAGCCGGCCUGAGAGGGUGACCGGCCACAUUGGGACUGAGAUAGGGCCCAGACUCCUACGGGAGGCAGCAGUGGGGAAUAUUGUACAAUGGGCGGAAGCCUGAUGCAGCAACGCCGCGUGCGGGAUGACGGCCUUCGGGUUGUAAACCGCUUUCGGCUGUGACGAAGCGUGAGUGACGGUAAUGGGUAAAGAAGCACCGGCUAACUACGUG
This 468-nucleotide ribosomal RNA is filed under the name uncultured bacterium. Its description in RNAcentral is "partial 16S ribosomal RNA". It matches the Rfam family "Bacterial small subunit ribosomal RNA", at positions 28 to 507 of the family's 1533-position model. The record is from RNAcentral.